Molecule: long non-coding RNA, 400 nt
Filed under: Homo sapiens (human)
Lineage: Eukaryota; Metazoa; Chordata; Mammalia; Primates; Hominidae
Description: HSALNT0199407
Source: RNAcentral
ACUUUUCUUUGUUUCUUGGUUUUCUUUGUUUCUGGACGCCAAGGCCUCUCCAAAUAGCACGCGAAAGCAAUUUCUCAUGCCCCUGGGAGAGAGGUAGGCGUGGCUUUAUGGAUGUGAUAGGCAGAGGACUUAAUAUUCUGCAUUAACAUCUCCUUCUCUCUCAAGGGAAUUUCUAGCAGACUUAAAGCACUGUAGGCAACAGAAAGGAAACCUGAAAUGCAACAUCCACCUGGAAGACACAUACAUAUUUGCUGAAGCGUGUUUCAAAUUUAACUGAAAAAGAAGAAGAAUAUAAUUGUGCUUCUCAUUCACUGCAAAUCUUGUGAUUUCAUAGUCUUCAGUGUUGACCUGUCAACCUGUAUGGGUUGUUUGUUUAAAAAGGUUGUAUUUUUAUUUUAUU